GGUAAAGAAAAUAUAUCUCAGAGGAGUUAGAGAAGCAACAACUAAUAGAUGAUAGUGCUGAAGUCAGGACUUCUGAAUCCUGGUUUCCAUAGGCCUUGACUUCAGAUAGCUGCGCAUGUUUCUGGACUUGCCCUGUGCGGAAGGAGAGCCCUGCUGCCUUGAUCAAAGUUACACCCCUCUUUUGCCCAGGUUAGGCAACAUCCGGUGAUUGGUCAAAUCAGGUAGAAAGGUCCAGUUCCCUGUGCCACUUCUGGGACACCCUGAAGGAUGCAGUGAAUCCCUCUUCCACUGCCACAGAUGCUCUCCUUCUCAGAGACUGCUUCCCACAGGCAAACUGAUGGGCAAUAAUUAUUCAGGUGAAAGUGUCAUAGGUUGGAUUCUGUGAAGACAAAUUCUAAGACACAUUCUGCAGGAUGAUCAUUAGGACACACCUCGAUUUCAACAGCCACAGAGAGAAGGAUAAGAAGGAAGUAGACUGAGCAGAGGAUAAGCUGAGUUGCAUUUCAGGCCAGAGACUGCUUGGCUGACCCUAUGGGAGCUCUGGAGCUAGAAUGGCCCUUCUGAGUUAUCCUGAGUUGGGCCAAGAUGUCCAGAUCCAGAUAUUCCUGCAUGGGACAGUCACUGGAUAUGGGCCAUCCCAUAAAGGGGGGUUAUACCAGGCAAUGCCUCAAAUGCCACCUGCAUUCCUAUAGCUGGAACACUACCAACAUAGAGGGGGCUACGUCUGCAUGGUGAAUCACAAUGUACAUCUCACAAGUGUAUGAAGUUUGCUGACUGCUAUGGUCUAAAUGUUUGUGUUCCCCAAAUUCAUAUGUUGAAACUUAAUCCCCAAUAUGAUGGCAUUAGGUGGGGUCAUUGAGGUGUGACUUGGUCAAAAGAGGGAGCCCUCAUCAAUGGGAUUAGUGCCUUUGUAAAGGGGACCCCACAGAGCUGCCUUGCUCAUUCAUCACAUGAAGACAUAGCUAGAAGGCAACACCUACAGAUGAGGAAGUGGGCCUUCACCAAACGCUCAAUCUGCCAGUACCUUGAUCUUGGACUUCUCAGUCCCCAGAGUGCUA
Molecule: long non-coding RNA, 1058 nt
Organism: Nycticebus coucang (slow loris)
Lineage: Eukaryota; Metazoa; Chordata; Mammalia; Primates; Lorisidae
Exons: 3
Source: RefSeq, a predicted model, not a curated record